GUGAGGAAUUUUGCGCAAUGGGGGCAACCCUGACGCAGCGACGCCGCGUGGAGGACGAAGUCUUUCGGGAUGUAAACUCCUGUCAGUGGGGACGAUAAUGACGGUACCCACAGAGGAAGCACCGGCUAACUCCGUGCCAGCAGCCGCGGUAAGACGGAGGGUGCAAGCGUUGUUCGGAAUUACUGGGCGUAAAGCGUAUGUAGGCGGCAAGUUAAGUUCAAUGUUAAAGCCCACGGCUCAACCGAGGAGAUGCAUUGAAUACUGGCUAGCUAGAGGGUGUUAGAGGAAGACGGAAUUCCCAGUGUAGCGGUGAAAUGCGUAGUUAUUGGGAGGAACAUCGGUAGCGAAAGCGGUCUUCUGGGACAUACCUGACGCUGAGGUACGAAAGCGUGGGGAGCAAACGGGAUUAGAUACCCCUGUAGUCC
Molecule: ribosomal RNA, 425 nt
Filed under: uncultured bacterium
Lineage: Bacteria
Description: partial 16S ribosomal RNA
Rfam family: Bacterial small subunit ribosomal RNA
Source: RNAcentral